GGGACUCAUAAUAGAGGGACUAUAUCAUGUGCUAACUGCACCUAGAGUUUCAUCUUUUAUUCUACUGGGUUAUCACUACAUAUUGCUAGAUGUCACUGGUGGAUUGUGAGACUCACAAGUAUCAUCUUGAUGUUUAAUGAUCCUUAGUGGGUAGAGUUAGAAUUAUUUCAAUCCAUUAAAAAAUAUUUCAAUGACAUUGUGAUAGAGAUCACAA
Molecule: long non-coding RNA, 214 nt
Filed under: Elaeis guineensis (African oil palm)
Lineage: Eukaryota; Viridiplantae; Streptophyta; Magnoliopsida; Arecales; Arecaceae
Description: long non-coding RNA (EGUI_LNC067396)
Source: RNAcentral